UCACAGUGAAGUCGGCAGAUUUUUGGGGUGGGGGAGAUGGGUCGCACAGAAGGGUGGUUGGAGGUUGUCGUUAGGUUUGAUGUUUUGGUGGUGGAGAAGGGAGAAGAGAGAAGAGAGAAGAGAGAAGAGAGAAGAGAGAAGGAGAGAGGGGAGCGGAUGACUGUUGGAUGGAAAUGGUGAAGUGAAAGAGAAAAGAUUAGGCAAAAAAGCCGUGUCUGGGAUCGGCACACUACUAUUUCAACCAUGUAUAUUCACUUGUAUCUAUGAUAGUUAGAUUUCGCGGGGUUGCAUUGAUUUAAUUUUAUUCCUCAUGUAGGUACAUUAUAUUGUUGAACUAUUAAAUAUUUGCUGAGGUAGGUGCAUCUUUCCAUUUCUGUAGGCUUAGAGAGGUGACAAAAAAUAUCUGAGAAUGAAAUAAUCAGGUGUCAUUUAAAAAUUAAUACUUUAAACAAUGAUAGACGAAAAACUUUACACUGUGCAUCCUGAUAUGGUGAUGCAGCUGGAGUUGAAAACUUGGAUAUAUGGAUCUAAUUUGAAUAAACAUGGUUUGAAAUUUGUGAUGUUGAACCUAACUAGAUCCCCCUCUGCAGUUACGAUAUCAUAGAGCUAGAAAUAUUUGGCAUUUGAAGCCUAUAUUGCCGUAAUAACACUUACAUUUCCGUGCUUCCCUCCUUUAUGCUGUUGUGUAAUUUUUUUAAAUGUUAAUCAUGCGGGAUGAAGAUUGCUACGAAAUUCAUACACAGGCAAAGCUAAGAAAAGAAUUUCUGAGAAUUGGAGAGACAGAAUACUCAGCUUUGUUUCGACAUGAAAGAUAGUACACAUAGGAGAAUAUAGAAGAAAUAUCAAAUCAUUUAACUGACUUACUUUAGGUGCUUAGCUGUACAGGCCCUGACAUCUAACCAACUAAUUUGAACAACUACACUAAUAGUUUACUACAGAUAAUUAAUUGACUUAACUAAUGUUAACACCCCCUCAAGUUGGAGGUGUUCAAAGCCCAGCCAACUUGCCAAGAGCGGCAGAGUCUUGACCCAGUUAAGGCUUUGGUUAAGACAUUUGUCAGUCACAAAUAUAAUCAAGUAAAGCUCUUUCUGGAAAGCGCCAAAAUAUAGUACAGUAAUCAUCUGCGCCGCUACAAAUGGUUAAUAUUAAUUUGCUAGCUUGCCGUUAUGUAAUCUCCACAGGUUUUUUCGCUUGCAGUUACCUUGAAAUGCUUCUGUGACAUAAGUUAAUUAUCUGAUAAAAUUCAUGUUAUUUUGCAGUAUGCCUGCGCAUGAAAGAUCACUUCUACAGUUUUUUCUUCACAGAAAAAGAGUCAGCAAUACUCAACAGAUAAAGCCUGCGCUAUCAAAAAAUGAUGGCACGACCUAUACAGACAACUCUCACCCGAUAAAAAAGAGGCUCUUCUGCUGCAACAGUGAAUAAGACACCAACAAUCCAACAAUCAAAACUUUCUGAUUCAUUCUCCUGUUCCACUACCUAAUGCUGGACCUCGAUUAACUUAAGAACGAGGUAUUACCAUUAAUGAGAUACCGCCUCCUG
This 1539-nucleotide long non-coding RNA is filed under the name Capsicum annuum. Its description in RNAcentral is "long non-coding RNA (CANN_LNC009717)". Lineage: Eukaryota; Viridiplantae; Streptophyta; Magnoliopsida; Solanales; Solanaceae. The record is from RNAcentral.